CAAGUUCAGUACUGUUGACGGUCAAUUUAGGACAUCUCCUUACAUCUAACUCUUCCAAUGCCGGCCAAGUUGAAUAAUAAUUUUCUGAACAGAAGCUGAUGAGUUCGGGGAGAUCUUUAAAUCUUAAUUUUCUCAACGAAGGGAGCGCAAGUAUUGCAUUUCCAUCUCCUACACUUAUUUCCCUCUCAUUAUGAUCAAAUUUUGCUUCAACGAUACAUUCCAAUCUCUCGCAGUAACUCACUUUCAGACUUUUAAGCUGCACCAAACUUCGAGCUUGUGACAACGUGAAGAUAUAUGUCAAAUUGUUGCACCGUGACACUUUUAAUUCUGUAAGAGAUUGGAGGCUGAUCACAUGUUGGCCGGGCGCCUUCCAUAUCCACUUCAGUUCUGGUAAUCCCCUCAUAUAUAACUCUACUAAUCUUGAGAGCAUCACAGGAUUCCCACUCUUUCCAUGCGGCGACUUAGAGGCAUCCAUUAUGCAUUCUAAAUCUUUACAAUCGGUGACAUGAAGAAUAGUCAACUCAUUUAAGCCCCGUUCAUCUAUGCUUGGCACAAUAUUAUGACAACCUGUUACCCCACUUAAAUAAAGAAUUUCCAGAUUUUGAUACAGUGCUGAAAAAAUUCCUAGCGUCGCUUUAGGAUGGUUAUUCUCAAUGAUUAAGCACCUUGUCCCUCUAUCAAAAGCGUCUAAGCACCUUGUCCAUCUAUCAAUGUCAUAUAAAGCGCCAACUUCCAUGAUGCCAUACCUUUGUAAUUUCGGAAAUGAAAAGUCAUUUGGAAGACAUACAACGGAUCCGUCGGGUUGGGAGUCCGACUCAGCACACCUAGCGUAACUUUCUUCUGAACUCAUCCCUUCAACCUCCCAAUUUUUUAUCCAACCAUAAAAUUCUUCUAAUUGAGGAAAUUUAUUUAUCGUAAUGGGAGAAAUGGAGCCAGACCAAGUACCAAUAUACAGAAGUUUCAAUCUACUAAGUUCAUCCCCCAAUCCAUCUGGAAUUUCAAUGGGAGACUUCUCGAGAUAAAGUAUUUGAAGUCUCUUCAACUUUCCAAGGAAAGACGCGUCACUCACAUCACAUCGAAUCAACCGCAGAACUCGAAGGUUAUUGGCGAGGAAUUGAAGUGAUUUAACUGAAAGGACUCCACCUAUUAUAGUAACAACUUUCAGUGCUGACAUCUCUUUAAAAAAAUAUUCUGGAACUUGCAAUUUGUUGCCAUCUAGAGUAUU
This 1225-nucleotide long non-coding RNA is filed under the name Citrus maxima (pomelo). RNAcentral's name for it is "long non-coding RNA (CMAX_LNC000097)". Lineage: Eukaryota; Viridiplantae; Streptophyta; Magnoliopsida; Sapindales; Rutaceae. The record is from RNAcentral.